GACGAACGCUGGCGGCGUGCUUAACACAUGCAAGUCGAACGGAAAGGCCCUUCGGGGUACUCGAGUGGCGAACGGGUGAGUAACACGUGGGUGAUCUGCCCUGCACUUUGGGAUAAGCCUGGGAAACUGGGUCUAAUACCGAAUAGGACCACGCGCUUCAUGGUGUGUGGUGGAAAGCUUUUGCGGUGUGGGAUGGGCCCGCGGCCUAUCAGCUUGUUGGUGGGGUAAUGGCCUACCAAGGCGACGACGGGUAGCCGGCCUGAGAGGGUGACCGGCCACACUGGGACUGAGAUACGGCCCAGACUCCCACGGGAGGCAGCAGUGGGGAAUAUUGCACAAUGGGCGCAAGCCUGAUGCAGCGACGCCGCGUGAGGGAUGACGGCCUUCGGGUUGUAAACCUCUUUCAAUAGGGACGAAGCGCAAGUGACGGUACCUAUAGAAGAAGCACCGGCCAACUACGUGCCAGCAGCCGCGGUAAUACGUAGGGUGCGAGCGUUGUCCGGAAUUACUGGGCGUAAAGAGCUCGUAGGUGGUUUGUCGCGUUGUUCGUGAAAACUCACAGCUUAACUGUGGGCGUGCGGGCGAUACGGGCAGACUAGAGUACUGCAGGGGAGACUGGAAUUCCUGGUGUAGCGGUGGAAUGCGCAGAUAUCAGGAGGAACACCGGUGGCGAAGGCGGGUCUCUGGGCAGUAACUGACGCUGAGGAGCGAAAGCGUGGGGAGCGAACAGGAUUAGAUACCCUGGUAGUCCACGCCGUAAACGGUGGGUACUAGGUGUGGGUUCCUUCCUUGGGAUCCGUGCCGUAGCUAACGCAUUAAGUACCCCGCCUGGGGAGUACGGCCGCAAGGCUAAAACUCAAAGGAAUUGACGGGGGCCCGCACAAGCGGCGGAGCAUGUGGAUUAAUUUGAUGCAACGCGAAGAACCUUACCUGGGUUUGACAUGCACAGGACGCCGGCAGAGAUGUCGGUUCCCUUGUGGCCUGUGUGCAGGUGGUGCAUGGCUGUCGUCAGCUCGUGUCGUGAGAUGUUGGGUUAAGUCCCGCAACGAGCGCAACCCUUGUCCUAUGUUGCCAGCGGGUUAUGCCGGGGACUCGUAGGAGACUGCCGGGGUCAACUCGGAGGAAGGUGGGGAUGACGUCAAGUCAUCAUGCCCCUUAUGUCCAGGGCUUCACACAUGCUACAAUGGCCGGUACAAAGGGCUGCGAUGCCGUGAGGUGGAGCGAAUCCUUUCAAAGCCGGCCUCAGUUCGGAUCGGGGUCUGCAACUCGACCCCGUGAAGUCGGAGUCGCUAGUAAUCGCAGAUCAGCAACGCUGCGGUGAAUACGUUCCCGGGCCU
RNAcentral lists this ribosomal RNA (1337 nucleotides) under uncultured bacterium. RNAcentral's name for it is "bacterial SSU rRNA". It matches the Rfam family "Bacterial small subunit ribosomal RNA", at positions 28 to 1381 of the family's 1533-position model. The record is from RNAcentral.